UUGAACGCUGGCGGCAUGCCUUACACAUGCCAGUCGAACGGCAGCACGGGUGCUUGCACCUGGUGGCGAGUGGCGAACGGGUGAGUAAUACAUCGGAACAUGUCCUGUAGUGGGGGAUAGCCCGGCGAAAGCCGGAUUAAUACCGCAUACGAUCUACGGAUGAAAGCGGGGGACCUUCGGGCCUCGCGCUAUAGGGUUGGCCGAUGGCUGAUUAGCUAGUUGGUGGGGUAAAGGCCUACCAAGGCGACGAUCAGUAGCUGGUCUGAGAGGACGACCAGCCACACUGGGACUGAGACACGGCCCAGACUCCUACGGGAGGCAGCAGUGGGGAAUUUUGGACAAUGGGCGAAAGCCUGAUCCAGCAAUGCCGCGUGUGUGAAGAAGGCCUUCGGGUUGUAAAGCACUUUUGUCCGGAAAGAAAUCCUUGGCCCUAAUACGGUCGGGGGAUGACGGUACCGGAAGAAUAAGCACCGGCUAACUACGUG
This 485-nucleotide ribosomal RNA is filed under the name uncultured bacterium. Its description in RNAcentral is "partial 16S ribosomal RNA". It matches the Rfam family "Bacterial small subunit ribosomal RNA", at positions 30 to 507 of the family's 1533-position model. The record is from RNAcentral.